UCUCCUGUAACAAAAAAGAAAAGAAAAAAAAAAGGGGGGGAGGGGAGGAAAUGAGAAACAUAUUGAACAAUUCCAGUUUCUGAAUUCUGCAAGGCUCUCUUCCCAUUGCUCUUGCUGGAGUAUACACUUUUGGAGCAUGAAAAAACACCUCAACUGUUGACCUCAGAGCUUGUCUAAUUUGACAGCCUACUCAGGUCUUAGCUCUGCAAUUUAUGCCAAACCAGAGUAUCCCCAUUUUGCUGUGUGGACAAUCCCUGUCUGAAGACUCCACAGGUCUUUGCUGUAAACAUAGUCUGUGGAAGCCUGAAGUGAUGCAGGUGUAUGUAUGUGCAUCACCUCAGGCUGUCAGACUGUCCAUCACACACAGUGAUUAGAAGAGAAAAACAGAGAGCAGAAAACCCACGGAGGAAGCAGCAGUGUCCUGCCAUUCAAGUGCCUACCUGCAUACCAAUCCUAAUUAAAUUUAACAGCGUCUUUUGAGUUACUAUGCAAAAAGCUAUUGCAUAUUCAACCUGUGCUAUUGAAAGGUAUGUAAUUGCCAGAAAGAAUGCUUUUAGAAAAAAAAAUUGUUCAUGUUGAAAUGCAUAUCUUUUUCUGCAAGUUUGUGUUACUGUUGUAGAAAAGUAGAUUUUAUUCCAAAUUCCUGCCUUUUUCUUUCUUCUGCUUCUUGUGAUUGCACUGAGCAUCCCAAUUAGAUACAAUAUAUAUAUGUAUGCUAUUUGUUUGUUGUUGUACAGUGAUUCCAAAAAGAUCCCUAAGCUUUGAAUCAGGGGCCUUAUUUCUACAUAUACAUAUUCCUGAAAAUCCAAAUUAUGAAUAAUAGUGAUGGUUGGAACUGAAACUGCACUGUCUGCACUAGGUCUGCAGUAAGCCAUAAUGCUUCUGUUUAUCUCAUUAGCUGCAAGAUGUCGAUUCACAUUUUAAUAAGUAAUCACGUGAUCAAUUUAUUGUUGAUGUGCAGUUCUAGCUGACCUUUUCUAGUUUUAACCAAGCUCAGUUUCAGUGGUUUUGCAGUACUUUAAGCAGCAGGAAAAAAAAGGGUUCUGACACAGCAAAAGGACUGGUGCCUGUCCCCUCACUGUGUUUAUGCUGAUGAAUUGCCGUGCUGUAAUUUGCUGAAUCAAAUUCUCUGCUGAAAGGUGAAGACUUACUUUUGCUGUACAUCUGAACACGGUGAGUUCUGCAGCCCUUUGAGGUUUUGUAAGGGUGUCCUCUGAAAAGAAAGCUGGAGGGCUGCUAAAUCACUCCUUCCUCCUUCCCAUUAAAACACUAAUAAGCUGUGGGAUAAGAACACCUGCAGACAGGGUAUGAAGUUGGCUUUGGCAAGUCUAUACUAAGUGUCAUUCCAAAUAAAUCGCUGGAGAAACGGCAGUUUAUAAAAAUCCACAUCACACUGGAAUGGGGAUUGGAAAAGCCAGAGAUGUUGUGGGAAACUGGUUUCUAUUUGGAGACAGCCACAGCUUUCAAUAUUUAGGGAGGAAGCACGUUACUGUUCAUAAUUGUACGCCCACACGUAUAUUUAAGGAUGAAUGUUGCAGAACAGAGGUAGGAUCUGACUCGAAGCCACUUGAUGACACAGCUGCUCUAGCCCAGUUCUCACUUCAAUAUCCAUGGGGUGAGUGGCUGCUGCUGCAGCAAUUCAGAUUCAUCUGUAAUCACUGAUGGCUUCAGAAGCAAUCGGCCAGGCCUGGCAAUGCUGAGGUAAAUGUCAACUUAUCCUUUGCUGUGGGAUCAGGACAUGUCCUCACAAAAGUUUCAUGGGGAGCAAAAGGGAUGUGAUGUUUUCUCAUCAACUGCAUCAUGAUCAUAACGUUGACCAGUUCCUCAGGGCUGAGCCUGGACCUAUAUAUAUAUAGUUCAUGGCUGAACUUGCAAAGCAUGAGAGCCCAGCUCAGAGCAAUACUGGACUUGUGUCUCCUGCUACUGACAAACACAAAAACACAAAGCAUAUGAAGCGUGCUUGACUGGCAGGCUCAGAUAUAAAAAGGGUGGUGGUGAAUUCCUGGCAAACUGUUGUGGACUUUAAAAAAAAUCUCUGGAAUUCAAACUACAACUUUAACUACGGUUUCUUGAUGGAGAUUGAUUAGCUUUUCCUGGUUUUCAUUCUUCCCACAGCUCUUACUGUUUAGGGAUGCCAAAUACCUCGAGCCAUGGCCACUUGCAGAUGAAGAAAAUGUGUACCAGCCGGAGCUCUAAGGAGGAAUGGGAAAGCCUUUUGCCACUUACAGGAUGCCUUGCUGCUGUGUAUCAAUGGCUGAUGUCCCGUUGCUGUUACAGAUACAUAAAAUCCACUGCUGGCAGGAAUGAGCCUUUAGUUUUCAGGAACAGUCAGAGACCCCUACUUCAGCUGCAAACAACGUGCAGAGUUUGAUGCUGGUGGCUGGAAGACUACAAGAAACGAGUUAAUAAAGAGCUGUCAUCAGCAUAA
Molecule: long non-coding RNA, 2428 nt
Organism: Oxyura jamaicensis (ruddy duck)
Lineage: Eukaryota; Metazoa; Chordata; Aves; Anseriformes; Anatidae
Exons: 2
Source: RefSeq, a predicted model, not a curated record